GUACACUCCUACGGGAGGCAGCAGUGGGGAAUAUUGCACAAUGGGCGCAAGCCUGAUGCAGCGACGCCGCGUGGGGGAUGAAGGCCUUCGGGUUGUAAACUCCUUUCGCUAGGGACGAAGCUUUUUUGUGACGGUACCUAGAUAAGAAGCACCGGCUAACUACGUGCCAGCAGCCGCGGUAAUACGUAGGGUGCGAGCGUUGUCCGGAAUUACUGGGCGUAAAGGGCUCGUAGGUGGUUUGUCGCGUCGUCUGUGAAAUUCUGGGGCUUAACUCCGGGCGUGCAGGCGAUACGGGCAUAACUUGAGUGCUGUAGGGGUAACUGGAAUUCCUGGUGUAACGGUGAAAUGCGCAGAUAUCAGGAGGAACACCGAUGGCGAAGGCAGGUUACUGGGCAGUUACUGACGCUGAGGAGCGAAAGCAUGGGUAGCGAACAGGAUUAGAAACCCGGGUAGUCCCAUG
This 460-nucleotide ribosomal RNA is filed under the name uncultured organism. Its description in RNAcentral is "partial 16S ribosomal RNA". It matches the Rfam family "Bacterial small subunit ribosomal RNA", at positions 331 to 799 of the family's 1533-position model. The record is from RNAcentral.